UCAUUUUUUUUUUUCUCUCUGUAAAUCGAAUCUCUGGCUCUGUUCGCGCUCCGAUGCUCAACUUGUGGUCGGAAAUUUGGAAGGAUGGUUGUUGUUCGCCAAGUUCAGAUAUAUUUGCAGAAAGGAGAAUUUCCUUGGAAAUGCUAGAAGGCUGUAUGAUAGGUAGUGGGAAUGUGGGAUAACAAGAGCUUGAUUGUCAAACUUUUGAAAGUAGGAUUUGCUCCGUGCUCUUGGGUGUAAUCUUACUCCUACUUGUGACAUAUAUAAAUUCUGUUAUCACAGCUUCAAAUUUGCCACGGUUAACAGCCAAUUUUGGUCUUUUUGCAUGGUUUGGAGUGUUUUUAGCAUCAGGUGGAUUAAUUCUCUUUCAUAGAUGUAGCAGGAUCCCGGAUAUAUCAUGGGAAACAUACAUGAUUCAGACAACAUGAAUUAUCGUGUAAGUUUGUACCUGUUAUUGGUUAAAUAGGUCAUCGAGAUCUUCUUGUUGUUGCUUAAUCUUUCAUGGGUAUUGUCUAGGAGCCAUUGCUGAAAGCUCAUAUUAAUAAUCCAGCUUUGCUUGCCGGGAUUUGGGCUUAGCUGUGCUCAACUUGCAAGGUUGUUCGGCCACUCCUUACGAAGCACUGUUCUACCUCCGAGACGGUUGUGUUGAGCAAUUAGAUCAUCAUUGCCCAUGGGUAUCCAAUUGCAUUGUAAAGAUUCUUAACAGAUGCAAACUCGAUUCUAAUAGUUUGGCUGCUCUCAAGAUCUCGAAAAAUUAUGAAAACAAUCAUGUUAUUGAGCAAAAGAGAUGAAGUAUCUGAAACUCCAAUUUUUUCGAUGUCUCCGUUGCUUUUUGAGUGAUUGAUUGAUGUUGGAAUAAUGACAUAGAUUUUGCUCGUCUGUAUCGAUCUUAUCCAUUAAUUUUGUUGGAAGAUUCUGCUCUAUUUUUUUUUGCGUGAUGUUGAACAUACGCGAGGAAGAAUGAGGAAGGAGACAGA
Andrographis paniculata is the source of this 977-nucleotide long non-coding RNA. RefSeq lists it as uncharacterized. The transcript has 6 exons. Lineage: Eukaryota; Viridiplantae; Streptophyta; Magnoliopsida; Lamiales; Acanthaceae. The record is from RefSeq and is a predicted model, not a curated record.